Long non-coding RNA from Drosophila subobscura, 630 nucleotides. RefSeq lists it as uncharacterized. The record is from RefSeq and is a predicted model, not a curated record. NCBI's taxonomy places the organism in Eukaryota, Metazoa, Arthropoda, Insecta, Diptera, Drosophilidae. The transcript has 3 exons.
GUCGAGUUCCGCGUAAGGUGGUAAUUCUUCGAAUGGAUCGAAUGGAGAAAGAAGAUGUAUUGAAGACAUUCUCGACGUACAAAAGCCUCUUGGAUCAAUUCUUUAACGAUAAUCACAUACAAAGAACUGACCACUUUAUGGGCCUCUCUCGUGUAAUGAUGCUUUAUAUGUUCAGGCGAGACAUAACGGGAAAUAUGUUUCUAAAAUUGGAAAUACUUAUAGCACCAGAACUCAUCAUUCGUCGCCAAUUAUCCACGCUCUCCUGAAAUUGUGGACUGUACGUCUCUUUAUGGAUACAUUCAACUUUCGUACUGAGGAGGAGGCAGUGCAACAGAUCAAGGACCAAACGGCGUACAGCACAUACAUGAACGCCAUAAAUAACGUGCCUCUAGAACCAGAUGUACAAGAACUAGAAGAUAAGCUUUUCCAGUAGCUGUGGAGAUGGCUGAUCAAUUCAGUGAGAAGCUACUCGUCGUUAAGGUGAGGCAGCAACACUCCUCGUCAUGCGCAUGACUGGUACAUGCGUUCUAGUCCCGUUUAGAGUCUCGGGCAAUCACUUUUGAAUUAUUCGUGUGUGCCGCUCUAAUUUCACUUAUGUAUAAUAAUAAUAUCCACAUGCAAUAAUGCAAU